GCCGGGCGUGGUGGCGCGUGCCUGUAAUCCCAGCUACUCAGGAGGCUGAGGCAGGAGAAUUGCCUGAACCCAGGAGGCGGAGGUUGCUGUGAGCCGAGAUCGCGCCAUUGCACUCCAGCCUGGAGACAGAGUGAGACUCCCUCUAAACAACAACAAAAGAGGUGUGUAUACCAGAGUUUCUUUCUUUCCUUCUUUAUGUAUUUAUUUUUUUUGAGACGGAGUCUCGCUGUUGUUACCCCGACUGGAGUGCAAUGGCACGAUCUCGGCUCACCGAAACCUCCGCCUUCUGGGUUCAAGCAAUUCUCCUGCCUCAG
RNAcentral lists this small RNA (314 nucleotides) under Callithrix jacchus (white-tufted-ear marmoset). RNAcentral describes it as "Metazoan signal recognition particle RNA (ENSCJAG00000060025.2)". The record is from Rfam by way of RNAcentral. Lineage: Eukaryota; Metazoa; Chordata; Mammalia; Primates; Cebidae.